This 413-nucleotide ribosomal RNA is filed under the name Serratia sp. (in: enterobacteria). Its description in RNAcentral is "bacterial SSU rRNA". It matches the Rfam family "Bacterial small subunit ribosomal RNA", at positions 323 to 728 of the family's 1533-position model. Lineage: Bacteria; Pseudomonadati; Pseudomonadota; Gammaproteobacteria; Enterobacterales; Yersiniaceae. The record is from RNAcentral.
GACACGGUCCAGACUCCUACGGGAGGCAGCAGUGGGGAAUAUUGCACAAUGGGCGCAAGCCUGAUGCAGCCAUGCCGCGUGUGUGAAGAAGGCCUUCGGGUUGUAAAGCACUUUCAGCGAGGAGGAAGGGUACAGUGUUAAUAGCACUGUUCAUUGACGUUACUCGCAGAAGAAGCACCGGCUAACUCCGUGCCAGCAGCCGCGGUAAUACGGAGGGUGCAAGCGUUAAUCGGAAUUACUGGGCGUAAAGCGCACGCAGGCGGUUUGUUAAGUCAGAUGUGAAAUCCCCGCGCUUAACGUGGGAACUGCAUUUGAAACUGGCAAGCUAGAGUCUUGUAGAGGGGGGUAGAAUUCCAGGUGUAGCGGUGAAAUGCGUAGAGAUCUGGAGGAAUACCGGUGGCGAAGGCGGCCCC